RNAcentral lists this long non-coding RNA (2256 nucleotides) under Homo sapiens (human). RNAcentral's name for it is "non-protein coding NUTM2B-AS1:8". Lineage: Eukaryota; Metazoa; Chordata; Mammalia; Primates; Hominidae. The record is from RNAcentral.
GUUUCCGCGGCUCGCUAGAAGGAGUGUGGUCCACCGGAGGACUCCCUACAUUCUUCCUCCAUUACCUCACUGCCUCCGGUGGCUGCUGGGAUACCGGAGGACUCGGGUCCCGGCUCGACUCAGUCCUCCAGCCGCCCGGGGAAUACCUCUAGUUCUUCCCGGCCGCCGCCGCCGCCGCCGCCCCGCCGCUUCCUCCUCCGCCUGCCGGCCUCCUUCGCCCCGUCCCGUCCGCGCAGCGCGUCCGGCCCGCCCGCAGGCCAGCUUCUCUCGGGAGCCCCCACCCAGGCGCAUGGCUCCAUGAAGCAAGAGGAGGAGGCAGAGCGCGAGAGGUCCCGUCCGCCCCAGCCGCGUCUGGGCCAGGAUAAAAGCAAAACCAUAUUCCUGCUGCUGUCAGUUAUGAUGCACUGAGAAAACUUCAGAGACCUAAACUUUUUCCAGAGAAGAGAAGCUUUACUGGUGUUCCAGCCCUAAGAAACUUAAAUCCUCAGUGUGACACAACUCAGUCCUUCUACUGCAGCAGCUCUUUUAUAAAAGCCUCCCAAAGCUCCAAGAAGGAACAAAGAAUGUGACCCAGUAAGCUCACACCAUAAAUCUAUAUUGCAGAAACCUUUGUUCAAGAAAACGGCAGAUGCUCUGUUGAAUCCACUGGAGAUUGUUCUGAUACUAAGGACAAGUAUCAACCAUCUUUCCUGUGAAAAAUUCCCUCUCGUACUUUAGUUCUGUGGAUCCAAAAUUUAUAGCAUUCUUCUACCACCACAGGGGCUCAUAUGACAUUAACAGACAAGACACUUUUCAGAAAGACAGGUUGUUCUUUUGGGCCACAUCUAAGAAAUCUUUGUCUAGCCAAAAGCCACAAAUAAUUUCUCAUUUUUUGGCUUCUGGAAGAUGUACAGUUAAAUGUUAUAUUUGGGACUGUUAUCUAAUUUGAUUAAAUUGCACUCUACAAUAUGAUAUUUGAAUUGAUGAAAAAUUAGUAAAUGUUAAUAUUUUUUAAAGUAGCCAAAUCUUGCAAUUUAUAUAUAAUAGAGAAGACUAGAAAAUCCCCCAUAUUUAUUUCCUCUUACUUCGUACUACUAAAAUUUGUAUUUAGGCAUUUGGUUUCUCAGAUAAACAUUACAUUCCCCAGUAUAUGGUUCUAUCUGGCUUGGUGACGACAUGUUGAACAUUAAGAUGUGAGCAGAAGUAAUACAUACACACUCUUUUUCAUGUCUUUAAUUGAAUGGGAUAUUGGCCCAUUUUUUCUUCCAGUUUAUUACACUGAAUAUUGACAUGUUAUUUUCCAAUAUUGAGACAAUCAAUGACAAGACUUUAAGAGUAACAAUGUAAAAAUACAGAAGUUGUCUGAGUUUAUCAACAAUCCCCUGGAUUAGAACCCCCUACCAGUUCUAGGUCAUCUAAUAUAUAGACAUUGUGUUCAGUAGAAAUAAAUAUAUAUAUUUUUUAUUAUGCUUUAAGUUCUAGGAUACAUGUGCACAACAUGCAGGUUUGUUACAUUGGUAUACACGUGCCAUGUUGGUUUGCUGCACCCAUUAACUCAUCAUUUACAUUAGGUAUUUCUCCUAAUGCUAUCCCUCCCCCUGCCCCCACCCCCCGACAGGCCCUGGGGUGUGAUUUUCCCCACCCUGUGUCCAAGUGUUCUCAUUGCUCAAUUCCCACCUAUGGGAAUACAUUUUUAAAUCAUUUUUGAAGGUGUUAUUACAUUCUGAUUGAACAUUUUCAGAAAGAAUAAAUCAUUUAAUACAAGAAGUGGGCCACUUCAUGUAACAAAACAAACCACCACUACAGCAACAACAACAAAAAACACAAAUGAAUGUGACUUUAGCUUUGCAACAUCGUGACAGACUAGCAAGUUAAUGACAUUUGUUAUGCCAUAGAAAAUAUUUGUUGAAUUGCCACUCUAAUGACUUUAUAUCAGCCAACUCAUUAUCAACACUAGAAAAGAUGAUUAAAAAAUACUUCAGUACGUUCACGUGUUGGCUUGUUAACAUUUUUAAGAGUCUAUAAGAGAAAAAUGCAUCCAAUCUCGACAAAAAUAUUUUUCAAGUAUCUUGUAGGUACGUACAACUAACUACCUUGUGAACAAAAGUCACUAUAUAAUUAUAUAAUUUCUGACACUUAAAAAAGAUUAUUGUGCAAAAGAAGAUAUAUGUUCUAAUACCAAAUCCACAUAUAAAAUAAUUGACUUAUUUAAAUAAUUUAAGAUGCUCUUUUAUAUAUUUAUAUUAAAAACUUUACAGAGAAUAAAAAAAGCAUUAU